UCCCCUGAAUGUUUACUGCUAAGAAAUAUG
Molecule: non-coding RNA, 30 nt
Filed under: Mus musculus (house mouse)
Lineage: Eukaryota; Metazoa; Chordata; Mammalia; Rodentia; Muridae
Source: RNAcentral